Molecule: ribosomal RNA, 98 nt
Filed under: Bacteroides fragilis 638R
Lineage: Bacteria; Pseudomonadati; Bacteroidota; Bacteroidia; Bacteroidales; Bacteroidaceae
Source: RNAcentral
GGCGACUACCUACUCUCCCACUGUUACGCAGUACCAUCGGCGUGAUCAGGCUUAACUUCUCUGUUCGGAAUGGGAAGAGGUGGAACCCUGAUGCUAUA